CCUACGGGAGGCAGCAGUGGGGAAUCUUGCGCAAUGCGCGAAAGCGUGACGCAGCAACGCCGCGUGAGGGAAGACGGCCUUCGGGUUGUAAACCUCUUUCAGUUGGGACGAAGCCACGGCGGUUAAUACCCGUCUGUGGUGACGGUACCUUCAGAAGAAGCCCCGGCUAACUACGUGCCAGCAGCCGCGGUAAUACGUAGGGGGCAAGCGUUGUCCGGAAUCAUUGGGCGUAAAGCGCGUGUAGGCGGCUUGGUAAGUCCGCUCUGAAAGCCCGGGGCUCAACCCCGGGAGGCGGGUGGAUACUGUCAAGCUCGAGUCCGGAAGAGGCGAGUGGAAUUCCUGGUGUAGCGGUGAAAUGCGCAGAUAUCAGGAGGAACACCAAUGGCGAAGGCAGCUCGCUGGGACGUGACUGACGCUGAGACGCGAAAGCGUGGGGAGCAAACAGGAUUAGAUACCCUGGUAGUCCACGCCGUAAACGAUGGGCACUAGGUGUGGGAGGUGUCGACUCCUCCCGUGCCGAAGCUAACGCAUUAAGUGCCCGCCUGGGGAGUCGGCCGCAAGGCUAAACUCAAAUUGAAUUGAGGCNGNGAGNGCGACGACGACGACGAGGAGGAGG
Molecule: ribosomal RNA, 616 nt
Filed under: uncultured bacterium
Lineage: Bacteria
Description: bacterial SSU rRNA
Rfam family: Bacterial small subunit ribosomal RNA
Source: RNAcentral